Molecule: long non-coding RNA, 1923 nt
Organism: Micropterus dolomieu (smallmouth bass)
Lineage: Eukaryota; Metazoa; Chordata; Actinopteri; Centrarchiformes; Centrarchidae
Exons: 2
Source: RefSeq, a predicted model, not a curated record
ACAGACAUAAUGGGAAAAAAACACAGAAGAGAAGAAUAUCCGGAUCAUUCCUCAUCUGCCUGCCUGCCCGCUAACCUUUAUGCAACUCCAGACUGCCCACGCCAUCCACCCUCACUCCUCUACCUCCUGCUGUCGCCAGCCAUUCAACGUCUCCAUUCCAUCACAUCCCUGCCUACAGUCCUACAAUAAACCUUCUUAACCACACCUCCGUGUCCUACAUGUGGGUCCAACCUGUAAUACUGUAACGGAAUAAUCUAGCCAAAAUUGACCCAGCAGACGAAUCAUUUUCUGUGGUUGAACUCAAUGAGGUGACUUCAGACCAUGGAGUGCCUUCUAGGCAACUGCAAAAAUGCCACCAGUAUGGAGCAGAAAGCGGCCUUGGUUGGAAAAAUGUAUUUGUAGAGAGUUUAUCAACACCCAAGCCUCACCCCAAGGUUCCCAGUUUUCAGCCCAAGCGUGAUAGCUUUCGGUUAGCUAGUCUCCGGCCAGCACCCUAGUCUGUUAAGAAGCCACAGAAGAAGGCGUGGUCACCAUAGCUCCUUACAACAUUGGCUGUCACAGCUGCUCAGCACCACAGACUCAAUACCAGAUUACCUCAGAGACUCAGUUUCCCAGCACCUCGACCUCUUCGAUGCCUAGCACUAAAGAGUUGCCAACGGAUCCUGGUCUCCUCUUGAUGACCCGACCGACACCUGCUUCUGGUUCCAAAGCCGGUGUCCUUCCCAACACCAGUUCCUGUGCUGCAGCACUCUGCUGAGCCUGAGCCUUCCAAAGAGGUCCCACCUAAUUUGCCAGCAUCCAGGUCACCCUCCAGAAUAGCUCUGUAAUUGUGACCUAUCUUCAAAGCAUACAGUAGCUCACCUGAUUUUACUGCUGAUAGAACCAUUCUGGGAGCAAUACUGACUGACCAAGACUCUCUACCCAAGAGAAAGUAGCACACACAUCCUUUGCUAUGAACAUCCCACAAGAAACAAGGAAGUUCACCCACAUGCACAGAUAGACCCAAGGUGGUGCUCAAGCACCUGCACUUUUGGCCUUUUAACUAGAUAAGUCCCCUUUUUGCAUGACAUUUACGUUUAUAGCCAACUGCCAACAGCCUCCACUGAUAACAGCAAAUCGAGCACCCGGCCUGCAGAGCAGCAUGAUCCACUCAUAUACUCAUAUAAAUUUCCUUCUAGGGGAAAUGCAGUGUAAACUUGCCAAAUUAUCAUGCUGUGUAAUUUCACAUUCAGUUUCUUAAGCUAUUGCCCAACUAGAACAAUGGUAGUGCACCCCUCCUUUGUUUAAAAAACAUAUCAAAUUCUUCUUUCUACAGAGCCUCCUCAUAGCUUGGCUGGCUAAUGCAUUUCAUAAAACCUUAAUGCCCUGGUUGGAGUCCAGCUGGGAAGGUCUUUCCACAAGGAGAAAAAAAUCAGUGACCCAAACAGAAAAAAACAUCUUUAUUUAAAAAACAUUAGUUGUUAAUGAUGUGGCAUCUACCUGCAUUAUUUGUACAUGUUACAGCAUGAGUGUGGAUUGUGUUAGAUUUAGAUGCCAGAAUAUGUCUGUGUGACCUCCUCGUCGUUAGCCGCUGACUGUAGUUGGUUGAGAAGUAAAAGCCCAUUCCCUGCAGGGUCAGAGGUGCACAAUAUCCAGUGGUUGUUUUCCUGUUCAACUUUGUGGCAGUUCAAGAAGGUGUGAGCAGUCACCUCGUAUUCUUUGCCAUAUGUGGUCCUGCAGGGACAAAACUGUUACCUAAAGAAUGACAGCAGGCAUGCAGGCAUUGUAACAUGACUUUUAGCUGCUAUAUUGGAGGUCCUCAUCUUUUGACAACAAGUGGCUAUGAAGAGCUGACUACAACUAAAUGCAAAACUCUACCUUGUCAUUAGAAGUGAAUCUACAUGGUGUAUAUCUGCAACAUUUUGAUAGGAAACUGGUGAUUUU